UCUGAAUACUCACAUCCACACCUUCAGAAUGAAAAAAAUUUGUCUGAGUUCCGCCUUGUAAGGCCACCAUUGUCUUCUCAGUCGGCUUUGGAAAGUGAAUUCCCAACGCUUCACAUGGUCUCAUGUGCCACCCUUGGGAGUCCAGAGGCAAAGCUGGGCUUAAUACUGACUCCAGUGGUCCCCAUCCAUAGAGAAGGGAACGUUCUCAGAGCUGCAACAUGAGCCUGGUAGGACUCAGGGCUGAAGGUGGGAAAGCUCCUCUGGCAUUAGAAGCACGAACUGUGUGACCGCAAGAUUUCACAGUCUGUGGGGGUGAAAGACAACAAUGAUGAUGGACAAAGGACUUGUGAGAAAUCACCAAACUCUCAAAGUGGGCUAUCAUCAGCUUUCAAGUUGCUAGCCUAACAGAAAAUGUAUGGAUGAUAACUAGGGAGGUGAUGCUUCUUCUCCUGUUCUCAUCCUCAGAGAAUACCUCCUUCCCAAAUGUUUUUGUUUCCUGUAUGUAAAAUGCAGAUAACGGUAAUCCUUUGUGAAGAGCUUUGAAAUCUGUGUUUGAAACCCGCUGCUCAUAGCAAUAGCCUGCAGGCUAUCACUACUUUCAGACGGACUCUGAUAGGGUAGAGGAGGUGGUGUUAAUGCUCAAGACUGUAGAGCAAGGCUUCAUUCAGCCUUGGCUCCCCCAAUCACCAACCUUUCAGGAAUGUGCAAAGAUUAUCUCUUUUUCUUUGAGAAGGCAUGGUCUGAGAUACUGAGCAGUGAGAGGGCCAAUCUGGUUCUAAGUUUAGUGGUGCUAACAAUAAAUAUUGUGAUUGUUUUAAAAAUAAUUGUACUGACCUUUAAGGAGGCUGCCAGAAUCUGGGCUGGGCUUUUUCAAUGAAUGUAUUCAAUAAAAGACAUUAUAAAAAGGUUGCAUUUCCUCUCUACCCACAACCUAAAUAUAAACUGAUUAUACAUUAAAGACAAAAUAAUGUCAUUUAGCAUCAAUGCAAUCAUACAAUUACAUUGUGCACUUGAAAUAAAUUUGCCCACUUGGACUGUAAUUUUACUGUAAUUGCCAAGAAUAUUCUGACUCCUGUCUCUAAAAAUCAUUGUCUUUUCUUCUUUUACUAAUGUUUUUGAGGGAGGAAUGCAGGGGGUCCUCGAGUC
Molecule: long non-coding RNA, 1146 nt
Organism: Hirundo rustica (Barn swallow)
Lineage: Eukaryota; Metazoa; Chordata; Aves; Passeriformes; Hirundinidae
Exons: 3
Source: RefSeq, a predicted model, not a curated record